AUACGUAGGGGGCGAGCGUUGUCCGGAAUGAUUGGGCGUAAAGGGCGCGUAGGCGGCCCGGUAAGUCUGGAGUGAAAGUCCUGUUUUUAAGAUGGGAAUUGCUUUGGAUACUGUCGGGCUUGAGUGCAGGAGAGGUAAGUGGAAUUCCCAGUGUAGCGGUGAAAUGCGUAGAGAUUGGGAGGAACACCAGUGGCGAAGGCGACUUACUGGACUGUAACUGACGCUGAGGCGCGAAAGUGUGGGGAGCAAACAGGAUUAGAUACCCUGGUAGUCCACACUGUAAACGAUGAAUGCUAGGUGUAGGGGGUAUCGACCCCUUCUGUGCCGCAGUCAACACAAUAAGCAUUUCGCCUGGGGAGUACGGCCGCAAGGUUGAAACUCAAAGGAAUUGACGGGG
Molecule: ribosomal RNA, 397 nt
Filed under: uncultured bacterium
Lineage: Bacteria
Description: partial 16S ribosomal RNA
Rfam family: Bacterial small subunit ribosomal RNA
Source: RNAcentral